AACGAACGCUGGCGGCAUGCCUAACACAUGCAAGUCGAACGAGACCUUCGGGUCUAGUGGCGCACGGGUGCGUAACGCGUGGGAACCUGCCCUUAGGUUCGGAAUAACUCCCCGAAAGGGGUGCUAAUACCGGAUAAUGUCUUCGGACCAAAGAUUUAUCGCCUUUGGAUGGGCCCGCGUUGGAUUAGCUAGUUGGUAGGGUAAAAGCCUACCAAGGCGACGAUCCAUAGCUGGUCUGAGAGGAUGAUCAGCCACACUGGGACUGAGACACGGCCCAGACUACGCCGGGGGGCGGCAGAGGCGAAUAUGGGACAAUGGACGAAAGCAUGCGCCCGGGUGGCCGCAUGAGGGAUGAAGGGCUUACGGUUGUAAACCUCUUUUACCCGGGAUGAGAAUGAGAGCCCCUGGAGAACACUCUCCGGCGAGCUCCCGGUCAACAGCGCCGUUAAUAAUCACAAGUGCACACGCCUGACC
RNAcentral lists this ribosomal RNA (474 nucleotides) under uncultured bacterium. RNAcentral describes it as "partial 16S ribosomal RNA". It matches the Rfam family "Bacterial small subunit ribosomal RNA", at positions 34 to 540 of the family's 1533-position model. The record is from RNAcentral.